Molecule: ribosomal RNA, 742 nt
Filed under: uncultured archaeon
Lineage: Archaea
Description: bacterial SSU rRNA
Rfam family: Archaeal small subunit ribosomal RNA
Source: RNAcentral
AACCGACUGCUAUUUGGGUGAGGAUAACCAUGCGAGUUGUAUGGGAUACCUAGAUUUCCCAUAGCAAACUGCUUAGUAACACAUGAUCAACUUACCCUAUGGAGAAAUAUAACCUCGGGAAACUGAGGAUAAUACUUCAUAGUUGAAUAGGCUUGGAAAAGUUUUUCAAUGAAAGGGAUAAGAAAAAUGGUUCUUAUCUGCCAUAGGAUAGGAUCGUGCUCGAUUAUGGUUGUUGGUGAGGUAAAGGCUCACCAAGCCGAUAAUCGAUAGGGGCCGUGAGAGCGGGAGCCCCAAGAUGGGUACUGAGACAGCGACCCAGGCCUUACGAGGCGCAGCAGGUACGAAACCUCCGCAAUACACGAAAGUGUGACGGGGUUACCCAAAGUGUUCUUAUAGAACUGUGGCAGGUGAGUAAUGUCCCCUGCUAGAAAGGAGAGGGCAAGGCUGGUGCCAGCCGCCGCGGUAAAACCAGCUCUUCAAGUGGUCGGGAUAAUUAUUGGGCUUAAAGUGUCCGUAGCCGGUUUAGUAAGUUCCUGGUAAAAUCAGGUAGCUUAACUAUCUGUAUGCUAGGAAUACUACUAUACUAGAGGGCGGGAGAGGUCUGAGGUACUACAGGGGUAGGGGUGAAAUCUUAUAAUCCUUGUAGGACCACCAGUGGCGAAGGCGUCAGACUGGAACGCGCCUGACGGUGAGGGACGAAAGCCAGGGGAGCGAACCGGAUUAAAUACCCGGGUUAGUCCUG